This 214-nucleotide transfer RNA is filed under the name Pneumocystis jirovecii. Its description in RNAcentral is "tRNA-Pseudo(TAA)". Lineage: Eukaryota; Fungi; Ascomycota; Pneumocystomycetes; Pneumocystales; Pneumocystaceae. The record is from RNAcentral.
UAAAAUUCAGAAAAAAAAAUUCAUAAAUUUUAAAUAUAUUAAUAUUUCAAUAUAAAAUUACUAAAAAUAAAUAAUAAAUCCAUAAUUUUUAUAAUUUUUUAUACUCUAAAAAUUUAACUUUCCUAUAAAAAAUAAAUAAAAAGUAACUUCAAAUAAAAAUUAAUAGACAUUUAAAAUAUAAUUAUAAAAAUUAACUAAAAUUUAAUAAUUCUAU